This 484-nucleotide ribosomal RNA is filed under the name uncultured bacterium. RNAcentral describes it as "partial 16S ribosomal RNA". It matches the Rfam family "Bacterial small subunit ribosomal RNA", at positions 30 to 507 of the family's 1533-position model. The record is from RNAcentral.
AUUGAACGCUGGCGGCAGGCCUAACACAUGCAAGUCGAGCGGAUGAAGGGAGCUUGCUCCUGGAUUCAGCGGCGGACGGGUGAGUAAUGCCUAGGAAUCUGCCUGGUAGUGGGGGAUAACGUCCGGAAACGGGCGCUAAUACCGCAUACGUCCUGAGGGAGAAAGUGGGGGAUCUUCGGACCUCACGCUAUCAGAUGAGCCUAGGUCGGAUUAGCUAGUUGGUGGGGUAAAGGCCUACCAAGGCGACGAUCCGUAACUGGUCUGAGAGGAUGAUCAGUCACACUGGAACUGAGACACGGUCCAGACUCCUACGGGAGGCAGCAGUGGGGAAUAUUGGACAAUGGGCGAAAGCCUGAUCCAGCCAUGCCGCGUGUGUGAAGAAGGUCUUCGGAUUGUAAAGCACUUUAAGUUGGGGGGAAGGGCAGUAAGUUAAUACCCUGCUGUUUUGACGUUACCAACAGAAUAAGCACCGGCUAACUUCGUG